Molecule: non-coding RNA, 160 nt
Filed under: bovine gut metagenome
Also listed under: 1 other name
Description: Lysine riboswitch
Rfam family: Lysine riboswitch aptamer
About the family: Riboswitches are metabolite binding domains within certain messenger RNAs that serve as precision sensors for their corresponding targets. Allosteric rearrangement of mRNA structure is mediated by ligand binding, and this results in modulation of gene expression.
Source: RNAcentral
ACCAGAAGAGGCGCGUUACUCAGGCAAGCAGCGGAGAAAUUCAGAUUUCCGUGAAGCUGCGCAGGGGAUGUAACGCCGAGGUGCAGAAAAAUCUGAAAGUUGAUGCACCGGCUGCAAAGGCUGAAUCCUUUGGGCUGUCACGAUUGUGAAGCGCUUCUGG